GGGCCCGCACAAGCGGUGGAGCAUGUGGUUUAAUUCGAUGAUACGCGAGGAACCUUACCAGGGCUUAAAUGUAAGUUGCAUAGAUCAGAGAUGAUCUUUUCUUCGGACUACUUACAAGGUGCUGCAUGGUUGUCGUCAGCUCGUGCCGUGAGGUGUCAGGUUAAGUCCUAUAACGAGCGCAACCCCUAUCGUUAGUUGCCAUCAAGUAAAGUUGGGAACUCUAACGAAACUGCCGGUGCAAACCGUGAGGAAGGUGGGGAUGACGUCAAAUCAUCACGGCCCUUACGUCCUGGGCUACACACGUGCUACAAUGGCCGGUACAGAGAGCAGCCACUUUGCAAAAAGGAGCGAAUCUAUAAAACCGGUCUCAGUUCGGAUCGCAGUCUGCAACUCGACUGUGUGAAGCUGGAAUCGCUAGUAA
This 421-nucleotide ribosomal RNA is filed under the name uncultured bacterium. RNAcentral's name for it is "bacterial SSU rRNA". It matches the Rfam family "Bacterial small subunit ribosomal RNA", at positions 917 to 1341 of the family's 1533-position model. The record is from RNAcentral.